AAAAAAAAGAACUGCCAGUGUCAGAAAAGAAAACUUUUACAUUCAGCCCCUAUACUUUAUCAUCUUAUUCCUUUGAAUCCUUCUACUUUUGAACAGUAGCCCUUACACCAUCUUUUUCACCCAAACAACAAAAUAUUUGACUAAAACUCACCAGAUCCAAACCAAAUCUUCCUUCCCAUAUCCGAACUAGUUUCCAAUCAUUAAAUUUUGUUUGUAUUAUCACGAUAUCUAAAAAAUUCAAAAUUCAAUCGGAAGAAUAGAUAUCGAUGUCGGAGAUGAAAGGUGUUAUUGGAAGCGACGAUGAUAGCAGUGUUACUGCCGACGAUGAAGGUAUUGUUGAUCACGAUGGCGUUACUACCAGAUUGAAAUCAUAUUGUUUAGAUUAGAAUAACUAACUACUUUUGCAAACAUGAAACCUAUAAAGCAUAUUUUUGCAAAAAUGACUUUCUCAACGUUUUUUUAGACUAUUUUAGUAAAUAAUAGUGUUAUCUAAUUUCCUCAAUUAUAAUUUUAAAUAUCUAUUUGUAAACUUUUUAGAGACAAUUUAUAUUUUUUACAAAUUUAAUUACAAAACUGUAAAACAUCUGUGAAUCCAAAUUAAAUAAAUUAAAGCAUCAAGAUAUUUUUUUUUAUAAUGGUUUGAUUAUAAUUUAGAUAUCUUCUGAAUUGGUCAAAGAUAUAGAAUAUAUUAUAUCUAUCUCCAUCCAAAAUCUAAAAACAAAAUAUAGAAAAUGAUUUCGAAAAGGAAAAUAUCAGUUGCUUUUACAAGGCCAUCGUGGCGCGAGUCUCACGCCAUUAUCCGUUAUUUUACAAUAUAAUUUUCAUUAAAGUUCACAAUUCACCGAAACCCAUCACCGGCAACAAUGUCCGACCAGCUUUUACCGGAAAUAAUCGCCAAAAUCCUAGCCCGAUCAGAAUUACACACAAUCAUCCAAUCCAGAUGCGUCUCAAAACAAUGGCGUGCCAUAAUAGACGACCCUCAUUUCAUCAAACACCAAAUCAACCACUCCAUCAAAACCAACACCAACUACUCCUUAUACCUCAAAGAACAAGACGGAGAUUUUUACCAUCUAGACUUGAGCACCAUUAAUGCAUGCAACUCUCUCCAACUCUGCAGUAACUUACCAAAUAUUCUCUUCGGGACCUUAGUCGGUGCAUGCAACGGUUUACUCUGCUUUCGGGUUCAAGAAAACGAAGAUGUUUGUAUUAUUAACCCCUUCACUCGAAAACAAUGGUGGGUUUUAGGUACUCUGCUUGCUAAUUUUCAUAACAGUAGUGCCAGUUCGAGUCCCAACGUUAAUGAUGUUGUCUGGACAGGAUAUGGUUUUGGGUAUGAUCAUGUUGCUGAUGACUAUAAGGUUGUUAGAAUUGCAGAGAUUAGUCACUCUAGGAGAAGUGUUAAUGAUGAUGAUGAUGUUGAUAUGGGGUUGUUAGAAUAUGAGAUGGUUAUUUGUUAUGUGAAAACUAGAGUUGUUAGAGUUCUUAAAAUACCUUAUCAUACUAGAACUACUCAAAAAAUGGGUGUGCUUGUUAAUGGGGCUUUGCAUUGGGUGAUGGGUAGAAAUGAUGAUGUGAGUAGUCCUAAUUUGAUUGUGGGUUAUAAUCUCGCGAGUUGUAAAUUUACUGAAGUAGCUCAGCCUGAUUUCGGGGAUAAUGGAUAUCGAGUGGAUAUCGGGGUGUUUGGUGUGUUGCUAUGCGUUUUCGCUGUUGAUGAUAUGGAAAUGUGUACUGAUGUUUGGGUGAUGGAGGAGUAUGGGGUUAAGGAAUCUUGGAAGAAGCUUUGUUCAAUUCCGCAUAUUGAAACGUGCUAUGAUUUUGUUAGGUCUUUGAGCUUUUGGAGGAGGGGUUCCGAAGUUUUACUUGAAUUGGACCAAUCAAGAAUUGUGUGGUAUGAUAUGGAAAAGAAAACAGUUAGAGAUGUAAUGCUUCAGAAAUUGCAGAGGUCAUGUUUUGAAACUAUUAUUUGUUUGAGAAGCCUUGCUCCUAUUCCAUUGAAUGAAGAUGGAGAAGUGGUUGAAAAUCGAUAAUGGCCUGGCGAUUAAAAUGAGAUAAGGAACUCGAAAAGGAUAAUUUUCUACCAGCAGAUUCAGAGUAAAACCUGUAGGCCAGAGGAAGCAAAGCAAGUGUAAUUAACAGAUACCCUUCAGCUUCGAUCAUCUUGACAAACCAUGAACGUUUUCUUGUUUUGAACACUAUGCAUCCCGUUGCAAUACCAAAUACCAAUCCACAUCCAUACCCACUUAAAACAGGUUUCCAUCCAUCUCCAUUAUUUUCUUCACUCCCCGAGUCAUCUUCGUUCGAUGGCUGAGGUCUACCAUUACCAUUAAUUUCACAUUCUUUUUCCAGAGGAAAUCCACAUAAUCUCGAGUUUCCUUCAUAUGAGCUCUUAUCGAAUGUGUUGAACUGCUUCCCAUGAGGUAUGGGUCCUUCAAGUUGGUUAUAGGAGACUCGAAAUACUUGAAGAAAUAUUAAAUCUGUCAAUUCAGUAGGAAUCCUUCCUGUAAAAAGAUUGGAACUCAGGUCUAAAGAUUCCAAAUUGACCAGCUUUCGAAGCGAUGGCUGAAUGUUGCCUGUGAAGCCAUUGUGAGAGAGGUUGAGCUGCUUGAGUGAUAUAAGCAUGUCGAUUGACUGUGGAAUUUUUCCUUCAAAUUUAUUAGAUGACAAAUCAAUAGUGGUGAGAAGUGUUUGGAUUUUCACCAGCUCAAUCUCUAGUCCUUUGAUGGUUAGCUUCACAUAAUAAUCAUAAGAGUAAUCAGGUGCUCUCAUGUAUUCCGUAUUCUUCUCAAAAACCAUGAUUGCUUUAAAAUUAGCAAAAAAAAUCUUCAGGCAAUGGUCCGCUAAACAUGUUGUUGGAAAGGUCAAAAAUACGUACGUUCCGAAAUGAAGAAGUGGCGUUUGAACUUGUAAUUACUGAACCAUGGAGUUUGUUGGAUUUCAACACAAGUAUUUGUAGCGCUAGAAGAGACCCCAAGAAAUAUGGAAAUGUAUCAUCUAUUUCAUUGUUUCCGAGGUCUAAGAUUUCCAAGUUAUUACAGUUGGUGAUAGACUGCGAGAUUCGUCCCUUUAAUAGAUUCCUGUUGAAGUUCAAAUAUCUCAAGUUACUGCAGUUUGAAAAUUUGAUAGCUCCUUGGAAAUUGUUGUUGCUCAAAUGCAAUACAGAGAGGCUGUUUCCCAAACAUUCUGGAAUGAGUCCACUGAAAUUGUUAUUCGACAAGUCGAGUAUUUGGAGAGAUUUUAGGUUGCAAAUUGCCAAUGAAACUUGUCCUGUCAACUCUUUGUUCGAUGAAACGAUGAAAACAUUCAAAUUUGCGAGUUGAUAGAAUGAACUCGGAAGUGAUCCAUUCAUUCUGUUGUUGCUCAGAUCAAUGUAAUACACUGAAGUGCUGUUGAAUUCACCUAUAUGACCUGUGAGUAGGUUAUUACUAAGGACCAAGUAGCUCAGAUUUGGUAGCAUAAAUAGCGAGGAAGGAACUCGACCACUGAAACUGUUAUAUGACAGGUCUAAUUCGGAUAGUUGCUCAAGGUUUCCGAUAACAGAUGGAAUCGGACCACGGAAAUCAUUAUGUGAGAGAUCCAACCUGGUUAGUUGCAAGAUCUGACCCAAUAAUGCAACAUCCGGCAAUGACCCAACAAAUUUGCAGGCACUUAGUUCUAGAAUUGAUAAAGACGUUAGGUUGUUGAAAACGUCAUGUUCUAAAUAUAUAGGAAAUCUUGUUCUAGAGAGAGAUAACAAUAUUAGCGAACCGCCCCAAUUUCGUCGAGGUAAUGAACCAGUGAGUUCUUGAUUACCCCAUAAGUCAAGCCAUUGAAGGUUUUGUAAUUGAAGUAUGUUAUCUGGGAAUUUCCCUCUCAAUUCACAGGAUGCGAGUUUGAAAGUUGACACAGACGAAGACAGGUUCAAGAGAUAACUAGGCGCAAUCAAGGACAUGUUAGUGUAGCUCAAAUCUAACUCGGUCAACUCGGUGAGGUUUCUUGCAAGCUUCUCAAAAGUAGAGGGUUCUAAUGGUAGAUUUGAAUUCCAGGACAGAUUAAGUAAAAGUAAUCGAGACAAAUGGAUGAAAUGCAAAAGUAUGUUACCUUGCAAUUUACAGUGGCUGAGUGAGAGCGAUGACAAAGAAGAAGACAGAUUGGCGAACGAACUAGAUGCAACCAAAGACAUGUCGACGCGGCUCAAGUCAACAUAUGUUAGUUUGGUUAGGUUGCGAGCAAGUUUAUUGAAAAUCAUUUCUUCCAUGGUUAGAUUCAAAUUUAAAGAGACAUCAAGUGAUUGCAGUGCAGAUAAAUGAGAAAUAUCUGGGAAGUUCCCGUGCAAAUUGCAAAACCGGAGAUUAAGAUUCGACAAAGAAGAAGAUAAAUUCAUCAAGGAACUAGAACUAACCAAAGACAAAUCAGUAAAGCUGAGGUCCAAGUCUUGUAGCUUGGUUAGGUUUUGAAAGACUUCACUAAAACUUGUAGAUUCUAUUGACAGAUCAUUUCCAUAUAGAUCAAGUGAAACUAAACUGGAAAGCUGAGAGAUUUCAGGCGGGAUUUGGCCGGCGAAAUUUGAAAAAGAAAGGCGAAGCUCCGUUAAAUCGAAGAAUUUGCCGAACUGAGGUGAAAUGUGUGACUUGUUAAAGUCAUUCCAAGAGAGAUCGAGUUGUUGGAGAUGACGAAGCAAGAAAAGACUACUAUCAGAAUGUAUAGUACCAUACAAUGAGCUUCCGUAAAGACGAAGACCAACUACAUUACCUGUUCUCGUGUUGCAGGUGAUUCCAUCCCACGAGCAACAAUCUGUUCCUUCUUUCCACGAUUUUAUAUCUGUAUUUGUAGGAGAAUUUAGAAUAGACAAGGAUCUUCUGAAUUGGAGCAACGCAAGGCUUUGAUCAUGGCGGCACAGUGGUGGCGAGGAAGACGACGAGUUUGAAUUUAAAGAUUGUGAAUUAGUGAAGUAAAAUAGAUACAAGCAUAGAAACUGAACAAACCAUACUGAAUUUCCCAUUUUCAUCUAACAAAUUCUCAAGUUUGCUAUAUAAAGCGCGAAAUUGAGCAUUUAUUGA
RNA transcript from Mercurialis annua (annual mercury), 5036 nucleotides. It is a transcript of the gene named F-box protein CPR1-like, with no coding region annotated. The record is from RefSeq and is a predicted model, not a curated record. The transcript has 3 exons. Lineage: Eukaryota; Viridiplantae; Streptophyta; Magnoliopsida; Malpighiales; Euphorbiaceae.